Molecule: small nuclear RNA, 141 nt
Organism: Sciurus carolinensis (gray squirrel)
Lineage: Eukaryota; Metazoa; Chordata; Mammalia; Rodentia; Sciuridae
Product: U4 spliceosomal RNA
Exons: 1
Source: RefSeq, a predicted model, not a curated record
AGCUUUGUGCAGUAGCAGUGUUGUCCCUGAUGAGGUUUAUCUGAGGUGUGAUCAUUGCUAAUUGAAAACCUUUGCCAACAACCUGCCAUGGCAACUCAAAAUACAGUCGGCACUGGCAAUUUUUGACAGUCUCUACGGAGA